UAGCCAGUGAGAGUCUGGUCAUGGGAAUUGGCUGUUUGCCCAUGUAGCUAUAUUCGACAUAUUACUAAGGUGACUUAUAAUAUGAAAGCUCGAAAGUAAACGUCCUGUCAGUGUUAGGCUAGCAAAUCUUCAGGCCGUAGCAUAA
This is a non-coding RNA of Candidatus Scalindua sp., 145 nucleotides long. The record is from Rfam. Lineage: Bacteria; Pseudomonadati; Planctomycetota; Candidatus Brocadiia; Candidatus Brocadiales; Candidatus Scalinduaceae.